This is a non-coding RNA of Pelobates cultripes (western spadefoot toad), 469 nucleotides long. NCBI's taxonomy places the organism in Eukaryota, Metazoa, Chordata, Amphibia, Anura, Pelobatidae. The record is from the annotation of a GenBank genome assembly.
CCAGCUAUUUAUUAUAGUUUGUAUAUUUUGGCCCCAAAUUUGCAGUUCUUAUAUUAGUUCCUGUUUUUUACGAUAACCCUGUAAGUAACUGAUUAUUUCAAUCUCUCAAGUUUCCAGUGUUGAGGAUUGCAGCACAAUAGAGAGGCAAACUUUGUUAUUCCUGUAUUUAAUUAUAUUCCAGUAAGGUGGGAAACACUUAGCGGAAUGAGGUAUCAGUUCCGUCUUUAUUCAUUGGUCUUUCAGAUUUGAUUAAACCGAACAGAUGCUAUUGAGCUUUCUUAGCUUUGAAGUCAAUGUGUAAAAUAGCAGAGCUGUUUGAUUUCCUUUUAGCUCAGUUUUGGUUAACAUCCAUAAGAACCAAGGUCUUCCCGAAGUUUGAGAUUUUCUGCUUCAUUAACUGUGUUUGUUACAGGGAGAUUUUCAAUUAACUUGUGUCUCGAUGAUUCUCUCAGUAACAGAACAAAACAAC